This 196-nucleotide ribosomal RNA is filed under the name uncultured bacterium. RNAcentral describes it as "partial 16S ribosomal RNA". It matches the Rfam family "Bacterial small subunit ribosomal RNA", at positions 1307 to 1500 of the family's 1533-position model. The record is from RNAcentral.
GCAACUCGACUCCAUGAAGCUGGAUUCGCUAGUAAUCGCGCAUCAGCCAUGGCGCGGUGAAUACGUUCCCGGGCCUUGUACACACCGCCCGUCACACCAUGGGAGUUUGUAACGCCCAAAGUCGGUGGCCUAACCUUUAUGGAGGGAGCCGCCUAAGGCGGGACAGAUGACUGGGGUGAAGUCGUAACAAGGUAGC